AUGGUUAAGUUAGAAAGGGCGCACGGUGGAUGCCUUGGCACUAGGAGCCGAAGAAGGACGGGACUAACACCGAUAUGCUUUGGGGAGCUGUACGUAAGCGUUGAUCCAGAGAUUUCCGAAUGGGGGAACCCACUAUCUUUAGUCGGAUAGUAUCCUUACGUGAAUACAUAGCGUAAGGAAGGCAGACCCAGGGAACUGAAACAUCUAAGUACCUGGAGGAAGAGAAAGAAAAAUCGAUUUCCUGAGUAGCGGCGAGCGAAACGGAAAGAGCCCAAACCAAGAAGCUUGCUUCUUGGGGUUGUAGGACACUCUAUACGGAGUUACAAAGGAAUGUGGUAAACGAAGUGGUCUGGAAAGGCCCGCCAAAGAAGGUAACAGCCCUGUAAUUGAAAGCAUAUUCCCUCCAGAGUGGAUCCUGAGUACGGCGGAACACGUGAAAUUCCGUCGGAAUCCGGGAGGACCAUCUCCCAAGGCUAAAUACUCCCUAGUGACCGAUAGUGAACCAGUACCGUGAGGGAAAGGUGAAAAGCACCCCGGAAGGGGAGUGAAACAGUUCCUGAAACCGUGUGCCUACAAGUAGUUAGAGCCCGUUUAUGGGUGAUAGCGUGCCUUUUGUAGAAUGAACCGGCGAGUUACGAUUUGUUGCAAGGUUAAGCGGAAAAAGCGGAGCCGUAGCGAAAGCGAGUCUGAAUAGGGCGCAUGAGUAACAGGUCGUAGACCCGAAACCAGGUGAUCUACCCAUGUCCAGGAUGAAGGUGAGGUAAUACUCACUGGAGGUCCGAACCCACGCACGUUGAAAAGUGCGGGGAUGAGGUGUGGGUAGCGGAGAAAUUCCAAUCGAACCUGGAGAUAGCUGGUUCUCUCCGAAAUAGCUUUAGGGCUAGCCUCGAGGUAAAGAGUCGUGGAGGUAGAGCACUGUUUGGACUAGGGGCCCUUCUCGGGUUACCGAAUUCAGAUAAACUCCGAAUGCCAUGUACUUAUACUCGGGAGUCAGACUGCGAGUGAUAAGAUCCGUAGUCGAAAGGGAAACAGCCCAGACCACCAGUUAAGGUCCCAAAAUAUAUGUUAAGUGGAAAAGGAUGUGGGGUUGCAUAGACAACCAGGAUGUUGGCUUAGAAGCAGCCACCAUUGAAAGAGUGCGUAAUAGCUCACUGGUCGAGUGACCCCGCGCCGAAAAUGUACCGGGGCUAAACAUAUUACCGAAACUGUGGAUGAACCUCUU
RNAcentral lists this ribosomal RNA (1222 nucleotides) under Listeria booriae. RNAcentral describes it as "partial 23S ribosomal RNA". It matches the Rfam family "Bacterial large subunit ribosomal RNA", at positions 1 to 1216 of the family's 2925-position model. The record is from RNAcentral. Lineage: Bacteria; Bacillati; Bacillota; Bacilli; Caryophanales; Listeriaceae.